GACGAACGCUGGCGGCGUGCCUAAUACAUGCAAGUAGAACGCACAGUUUAUACCGUAGCUUGCUACACCAUAAACUGUGAGUUGCGAACGGGUGAGUAACGCGUAGGUAACCUGCCUGGUAGCUGGGGAUAACUAUUGGAAACGAUAGCUAAUACCGCAUGAUAUUAAUUAUUGCAUGAUAAUUGAUUGAAAGAUGCAAUGGCAUCACUACCAGAUGGACCUGCGUUGUAUUAGCUAGUAGGUGAGGUAACGGCUCACCUAGGCGACGAUACAUGGCCGAACUGAGAGGGUGAUCGGCCACACUGGGACUGAGACACGGCCCAGACGCCUACGGGAGGCAGCAGUAGGGAAUCUUCGGCAAUGGACGAAAGUCUGACCGAGCAACGCCGCGUGAGUGAAGAAGGUUUUCGGAUCGUAAAGCUCUGUUGUAAGAGAAGAACGGGUGUGAGAGUGGAAAGUUCACACUGUGACGGUAUCUUACCAGAAAGGGACGGCUAACUACGUG
This 505-nucleotide ribosomal RNA is filed under the name uncultured bacterium. RNAcentral's name for it is "partial 16S ribosomal RNA". It matches the Rfam family "Bacterial small subunit ribosomal RNA", at positions 28 to 507 of the family's 1533-position model. The record is from RNAcentral.